AGCUUUUUACUACGAUAGCAUUCAUCUAUGCUGUAUUAUGUUGUGUUUGAAAGAACGUGAACACCCCACCAUGCACAACGAUAUGCACAAUCAACAUAAAGACAAUAACAAUCAGAAUCAAGGAGUAAACAAAGACUCAUAAAACCAAAAUACAUUUACAUCAACAGUUUCAAAUAAUAAAUAAGAAACAACACGAACUCCACUAAAAUAAGACUUAUUUACGGACAGA
Molecule: long non-coding RNA, 229 nt
Filed under: Mytilus galloprovincialis (Mediterranean mussel)
Lineage: Eukaryota; Metazoa; Mollusca; Bivalvia; Mytilida; Mytilidae
Source: RNAcentral